AUUCCAGCUCCAAUAGCGUAUAUUAAAGUUGUUGCAGUUAAAAAGCUCGUAGUUGGAUUUCUGGUGGGAGCGAUCGGUCUGGCGCUUAGCGCCAGUACUUGCAUCGUCUCCGGCCAUCCUUGGGGAGAGUUUGUCUGGCAUUAAGUUGUCGGGCAAAGGAUCCUCAUCGUUUACUGUGAAAAAAUUAGAGUGUUCAAAGCAGGCUUAUGCCGUUGAAUAUAUUAGCAUGGAAUAAUAAGAUAGGACUUCGGUCAUAUUUUGUCGGUUUCUGUAACUGAAGUAAUGAUUGAUAGGGAUAGUUGGGGGUGCUAGUAUUGAGCGGCCAGAGGUGAAAUUCUUGGAUUCGCUCAAGACUAACUUAUGCGAAAGCAUUCACCAAGGAUGUUUUCAUUA
This 393-nucleotide ribosomal RNA is filed under the name Arcocellulus sp. RNAcentral describes it as "partial small subunit ribosomal RNA". It matches the Rfam family "Eukaryotic small subunit ribosomal RNA", at positions 582 to 975 of the family's 1831-position model. The record is from RNAcentral. Lineage: Eukaryota; Bacillariophyta; Thalassiosirophyceae; Cymatosirales; Cymatosiraceae.